ACGGAAGGCAGCAGUGAGGAAUAUUGGUCAAUGGGCGGAAGCCUGAACCAGCCAAGUCGCGUGAAGGAAGACGGUAUUAUGUAUUGUAAACUUCUUUAGACGUAGAGAAAUAAGCGGGACGCGUCCCGCGAUGCUAGUAUGCGUAGAAUAAGGAUCGGCUAACUCCGUGCCAGCAGCCGCGGUAAUACGGAGGAUCCGAGCGUUAUCCGGAUUUAUUGGGUUUAAAGGGAGCGUAGGCGGUAUUUUAAGCGUGUUGUGAAAUGUAGAUGCUCAACAUCUGAAUUGCAGCGCGAACUGGAGUACUUGAGUGCGCAGGAAGUUGGCGGAAUUCGUCGUGUAGCGGUGAAAUGCUUAGAUAUGACGAAGAACUCCGAUUGCGAAGGCAGCUGACUGUAGCGUAACUGACGCUGAAGCUCGAAGGUGCGGGUAUCGAACAGGAUUAGAUACCCUGGUA
This 454-nucleotide ribosomal RNA is filed under the name uncultured Prevotella sp. RNAcentral describes it as "partial 16S ribosomal RNA". It matches the Rfam family "Bacterial small subunit ribosomal RNA", at positions 341 to 792 of the family's 1533-position model. Lineage: Bacteria; Pseudomonadati; Bacteroidota; Bacteroidia; Bacteroidales; Prevotellaceae. The record is from RNAcentral.